Molecule: ribosomal RNA, 2747 nt
Filed under: Salmonella enterica subsp. enterica serovar Typhimurium str. DT104
Lineage: Bacteria; Pseudomonadati; Pseudomonadota; Gammaproteobacteria; Enterobacterales; Enterobacteriaceae
Description: 23S ribosomal RNA
Rfam family: Bacterial large subunit ribosomal RNA (bases 320-2747)
Source: RNAcentral
UAGAGAAUACCAAGGCGCUUGAGAGAACUCGGGUGAAGGAACUAGGCAAAAUGGUGCCGUAACUUCGGGAGAAGGCACGCUGACACGUAGGUGAAGUGAUUUACUCAUGGAGCUGAAGUCAGUCGAAGAUACCAGCUGGCUGCAACUGUUUAUUAAAAACACAGCACUGUGCAAACACGAAAGUGGACGUAUACGGUGUGACGCCUGCCCGGUGCCGGAAGGUUAAUUGAUGGGGUCAGCGCAAGCGAAGCUCCUGAUCGAAGCCCCGGUAAACGGCGGCCGUAACUAUAACGGUCCUAAGGUAGCGAAAUUCCUUGUCGGGUAAGUUCCGACCUGCACGAAUGGCGUAAUGAUGGCCAGGCUGUCUCCACCCGAGACUCAGUGAAAUUGAACUCGCUGUGAAGAUGCAGUGUACCCGCGGCAAGACGGAAAGACCCCGUGAACCUUUACUAUAGCUUGACACUGAACAUUGAGCCUUGAUGUGUAGGAUAGGUGGGAGGCUUUGAAGUGUGGACGCCAGUCUGCAUGGAGCCGACCUUGAAAUACCACCCUUUAAUGUUUGAUGUUCUAACGUGGACCCGUAAUCCGGGUUGCGGACAGUGUCUGGUGGGUAGUUUGACUGGGGCGGUCUCCUNGGGGGCCAUCCCGGCUUACCAACCCGAUGCAAACUGCGAAUACCGGAGAAUGUUAUCACGGGAGACACACGGCGGGUGCUAACGUCCGUCGUGAAGAGGGAAACAACCCAGACCGCCAGCUAAGGUCCCAAAGUCAUGGUUAAGUGGGAAACGAUGUGGGAAGGCCCAGACAGCCAGGAUGUUGGCUUAGAAGCAGCCAUCAUUUAAAGAAAGCGUAAUAGCUCACUGGUCGAGUCGGCCUGCGCGGAAGAUGUAACGGGGCUAAACCAUGCACCGAAGCUGCGGCAGCGAACGUAUCACCCAAGACAACUUUACGGAGUUGACGAUUGACGGAGCGAAGCGACGUCAAAGCGUUCAUUAAAGUCGAGUUGGCUUAGGGAUACGUUCGUUGGGUAGGGGAGCGUUCUGUAAGCCUGUGAAGGUGUGUCGUGAGGCAUGCUGGAGGUAUCAGAAGUGCGAAUGCUGACAUAAGUAACGAUAAAGCGGGUGAAAAGCCCGCUCGCCGGAAGACCAAGGGUUCCUGUCCAACGUUAAUCGGGGCAGGGUGAGUCGACCCCUAAGGCGAGGCCGAAAGGCGUAGUCGAUGGGAAACGGGUUAAUAUUCCCGUACUUGGUGUUACUGCGAAGGGGGGACGGAGAAGGCUAUGUUGGCCGGGCGACGGUUGUCCCGGUUUAAGCGUGUAGGUGUGUGUUCCAGGUAAAUCCGGUUCACUUUAACACUGAGGCGUGAUGACGAGGCACUACGGUGCUGAAGCAACAAAUGCCCUGCUUCCAGGAAAAGCCUCUAAGCAUCAGGUAACAUCAAAUCGUACCCCAAACCGACACAGGUGGUCAGGUAGAGAAUACCAAGGCGCUUGAGAGAACUCGGGUGAAGGAACUAGGCAAAAUGGUGCCGUAACUUCGGGAGAAGGCACGCUGACACGUAGGUGAAGUGAUUUACUCAUGGAGCUGAAGUCAGUCGAAGAUACCAGCUGGCUGCAACUGUUUAUUAAAAACACAGCACUGUGCAAACACGAAAGUGGACGUAUACGGUGUGACGCCUGCCCGGUGCCGGAAGGUUAAUUGAUGGGGUCAGCGCAAGCGAAGCUCCUGAUCGAAGCCCCGGUAAACGGCGGCCGUAACUAUAACGGUCCUAAGGUAGCGAAAUUCCUUGUCGGGUAAGUUCCGACCUGCACGAAUGGCGUAAUGAUGGCCAGGCUGUCUCCACCCGAGACUCAGUGAAAUUGAACUCGCUGUGAAGAUGCAGUGUACCCGCGGCAAGACGGAAAGACCCCGUGAACCUUUACUAUAGCUUGACACUGAACAUUGAGCCUUGAUGUGUAGGAUAGGUGGGAGGCUUUGAAGUGUGGACGCCAGUCUGCAUGGAGCCGACCUUGAAAUACCACCCUUUAAUGUUUGAUGUUCUAACGUGGACCCGUAAUCCGGGUUGCGGACAGUGUCUGGUGGGUAGUUUGACUGGGGCGGUCUCCUCCUAAAGAGUAACGGAGGAGCACGAAGGUUGGCUAAUCCUGGUCGGACAUCAGGAGGUUAGUGCAAUGGCAUAAGCCAGCUUGACUGCGAGCGUGACGGCGCGAGCAGGUGCGAAAGCAGGUCAUAGUGAUCCGGUGGUUCUGAAUGGAAGGGCCAUCGCUCAACGGAUAAAAGGUACUCCGGGGAUAACAGGCUGAUACCGCCCAAGAGUUCAUAUCGACGGCGGUGUUUGGCACCUCGAUGUCGGCUCAUCACAUCCUGGGGCUGAAGUAGGUCCCAAGGGUAUGGCUGUUCGCCAUUUAAAGUGGUACGCGAGCUGGGUUUAGAACGUCGUGAGACAGUUCGGUCCCUAUCUGCCGUGGGCGCUGGAGAACUGAGGGGGGCUGCUCCUAGUACGAGAGGACCGGAGUGGACGCAUCACUGGUGUUCGGGUUGUCAUGCCAAUGGCACUGCCCGGUAGCUAAAUGCGGAAGAGAUAAGUGCUGAAAGCAUCUAAGCACGAAACUUGCCCCGAGAUGAGUUCUCCCUGAGACUUAGAGUCUCCUGAAGGAACGUUGAAGACGACGACGUUGAUAGGCCGGGUGUGUAAGCGCAGCGAUGCGUUGAGCUAACCGGUACUAAUGAACCGUGAGGCUUAACCUU